This 354-nucleotide ribosomal RNA is filed under the name Triticum aestivum (bread wheat). RNAcentral's name for it is "partial small subunit ribosomal RNA". Lineage: Eukaryota; Viridiplantae; Streptophyta; Magnoliopsida; Poales; Poaceae. The record is from RNAcentral.
AUGAGGCUGAAAGAGCUACUUCGUGAGGAAGAACUAAAGUGGGCGCUUCGGGCCAAGGUCCGACGGGUCGUCCAGGGGGACGCGAACACACAAUUUUUUCACAUGAUUGCUAAUGGCAAGCAUAGAAAGAAGAGAAUCUUUCAGCUUGAGCAAGAUGAGGGAACGAUUCUUGGUCAGGAAAACUUAAAGCUGUAUAUCACUGAGUAUUACAAGCAGUUGUUUGGACCUCCAGAGGAGAAUUGGGUGUCGCUGGAUGAGUGUAGGAUUGAGGACGUGCCUCAACUGACAGCUGUUGAGAAUGAUAUCUUAAUUGCUCCUUUCUUUGAGAAAGAGGUAUUUGAGGCCAUUUCCUAG